CGCGUAGGCGGCUUUGUCAGUCCCGUGUGAAAUCCCUCGGCUCAACUGAGGAACUGCACGGGAAACUGCCUGGCUUGAGUUCGGGAGAGGGAAGCGGAAUUCCGGGUGUAGCGGUGAAAUGCGUAGAUAUCCGGAGGAACACCGGUGGCGAAGGCGGCUUCCUGGACCGACACUGACGCUGAGGCGCGAAAGCUAGGGGAGCAAACG
Molecule: ribosomal RNA, 207 nt
Filed under: uncultured bacterium
Lineage: Bacteria
Description: partial 16S ribosomal RNA
Rfam family: Bacterial small subunit ribosomal RNA
Source: RNAcentral